Molecule: ribosomal RNA, 421 nt
Filed under: uncultured bacterium
Lineage: Bacteria
Description: bacterial SSU rRNA
Rfam family: Bacterial small subunit ribosomal RNA
Source: RNAcentral
UAAGGAAUAUUGGUCAAUGGACGCAAGUCUGAACCAGCCAUGCCGCGUGAAGGAUGAAGGUCCUCUGGAUUGUAAACUUCUUUUAUCUGGGACGAAAACGGGAUUUUUAUCUCAAUUGACGGUACCAGAGGAAUAAGCACCGGCUAACUCCGUGCCAGCAGCCGCGGUAAUACGGAGGGUGCGAGCGUUAUCCGGAUUUACUGGGUUUAAAGGGUGCGUAGGUGGGCUUAUAAGUCAGUGGUGAAAUCUCCGAGCUUAACUUGGAAACUACCGUUGAUACUAUAGGUCGUGAAUUAUCUGGAGGUAAGCGAAAUAUGUCAUGUAGCGGUGAAAUGCUUAGAUAUGACAUAGAACACCAAUUGCGAAGGCAGCUUACUACAUAUAAAUUGACGCUGAGGCACGAAAGCGUGGGGAUCAAACA